Molecule: transfer RNA, 72 nt
Filed under: Nanobdellota archaeon
Lineage: Archaea; Nanobdellati; Nanobdellota
Description: tRNA-Val
Rfam family: tRNA
About the family: Transfer RNA (tRNA) molecules are approximately 80 nucleotides in length. Their secondary structure includes four short double-helical elements and three loops (D, anti-codon, and T loops).
Source: RNAcentral
GGUCCCAUAGUCCAGUGGUUAAGACAACGCGUUUACACCGCGUAGACAGCAGUUCGAUUCUGCUUGGGACCA